GGGUAGCUCACAGGUAGAGCAUCUGCUUGGCAUGCAGAAAGUCACAGGUUCAAUCCCCGGCAUUUCU
This 67-nucleotide transfer RNA is filed under the name Sphaerodactylus townsendi. RNAcentral's name for it is "tRNA-Ala". The stretch from base 3 to 61 matches the Rfam family "tRNA", at positions 7 to 64 of the family's 71-position model. Rfam says of the family: Transfer RNA (tRNA) molecules are approximately 80 nucleotides in length. Their secondary structure includes four short double-helical elements and three loops (D, anti-codon, and T loops). Lineage: Eukaryota; Metazoa; Chordata; Lepidosauria; Squamata; Sphaerodactylidae. The record is from RNAcentral.